RNAcentral lists this transfer RNA (74 nucleotides) under Eremothecium gossypii. RNAcentral's name for it is "tRNA-Thr". It matches the Rfam family "tRNA". From Rfam's summary of the family: Transfer RNA (tRNA) molecules are approximately 80 nucleotides in length. Their secondary structure includes four short double-helical elements and three loops (D, anti-codon, and T loops). Lineage: Eukaryota; Fungi; Ascomycota; Saccharomycetes; Saccharomycetales; Saccharomycetaceae. The record is from RNAcentral.
AGCUUCUAUGUCCACACUGGUAAGGCGCCACACUCGUUAUGUGGGGAUCAUCAGUUCGAAUCUGGGUGGAAGCA